This 2745-nucleotide long non-coding RNA is filed under the name Bemisia tabaci. RNAcentral's name for it is "lncRNA ENSSSA1NGG012516". Lineage: Eukaryota; Metazoa; Arthropoda; Insecta; Hemiptera; Aleyrodidae. The record is from RNAcentral.
AUGUUGCAGCUCCUUUUAUAUUUAUACCUCAUUCCUCAGAUGAAUGGACUCUUGAUGCUAGACGAUUCCGAUUCCAAUGAAACCUCGCACUUACAACCUCUCAUGGUAAGCCUACCUCAAAAGCUUACAAUUCUUUCCCCAUCUGAUACCUAUAGCCAUAUUGAUUUCGAAAGUACCAAAUCACAUGUGCGAUUUUUGACGGUGUUGAGAUAGUUGUAAGGAUGAAGAGUCGUUUGUAACUAAGAAUGUUGACAAUAAAUAAGAAAUAUGAGCAAAUGAAGAUAUACCUAUAUGAAAUUUUGCAAUAUAUGUAAAUUAAACUGUCGUAAUAUAUAAAGACACGUGUAAAUGAGAAAAAGAACAGGGCCAGAUUUACCUACUUGCCGCCCACGGGCCGCCUGUAUUUUGCCGCCCCUUCUCAUUCGUUUUGUAACAUCGAUAUAAACCAUCAAGUGAACGUGCCGGAGGAGGAGGGGUGCAUAAGACUCGUUUACUCGUGUUGGGCACAUUUUUUGUGAAAGCCCUGUCAGUACUAGCAAAAGUUCACGGAGCUUUGCACUAAAAUUGAGGAGCUUUCCGGAAAAAGGACACAUACCGAAAAAACGCGUUGUGAGAAAAACGCAUUUGAAGUUUUCAUUCUUACUUUCUGGGCACUGAUGAUGACAUACAUCGGAACUGGGGCACUCAUAUCAACGUUCAUACACCCUAGAAUGGAUAACGACCAUUGGUAAAACUUACACUUCUUUCAGUGUUGUGGGAGGAAUUUUUUAAAAUUUUCCGUUAUGUGCCCUUUUUCCGGAAAUGGACCGGUGGUCAUAGGUUUUGGCUUUUAAAGCUGAAUUUUAAAUGACUUUAACGAGUUUCUUAACGAAAAUAAACAGUAAUUUCGAUCGCGAACGCGCGGGUGGAUCGUCUUUGAUUAUUAUUAAUGAAAAAGACAGCGAAACACGUGAAAAACUCGAAAAAUUUAAACUCGCAAGAAACCAUUAAAAAAUUGAAUGAUUAAUAAUAACAAAAAUUCACGAGUGACCGGUGCAACGCGUUGACAAUCGCUGCAACCCGAUGAUAUUGAGAAAUCGCCUCGAAUGCGGCGGAAUACCAUGGUCUCAACUUUUUUACCGUUCGUCUCUCAGACAAGUAUGACAUAUCGAUGGAUACGGAAUUAGACUAGGAAUGUAUUGCUCAUUCCUUUAUUAAAAAAAAAAAAAUAAAAUAACUUUUUCGGGAAUUUCCGAACGUUUAAAAUUCGACCGAUCAAAAUUUCAAAAAAAUUUGGUACAUCUGCACUUUACUGCUACUAUCCAUCAAAAACUCAUGCAUAGAACAUUAGGAAAGUAGAAAUAAUUUUUGAGUCGGGGACCCACGGCAAUCGGCGUUGAAAAUUGACAAUUUUACGGAGUUUUCGAAUUUUUCCCUCUGAAAUUCAACGCAGCGCCGUAACCCAAGAAAACCUUAUGGCGAAUUAAGCUUCACUUUUCCUGAUAGCUGAAAGCAAUUUGAACUUAAUUAAACCUCUAGAAAUAAUUUUUGAGUCAGGAACCCACGGCAAUCGGCGUUGAAAAUUGACAACUUUACGGAGUUUUCAAAUUUUUCCCUCUGAAAUUCAACGCAGCACCGUAACCCAGGCAAAUGUAAUGGUGAAUUAAAAGUCCGAAAUCUCGACAACAAAAAGUCGUAUCAAAAUUCGGUCGGUACAGUUUUCCGAUCUUCGAUAGUCUAAAAGAUUCGCAUCGCUCCGCGGCGGAUCGGAGGAGGGUAAUUUUCCGAAAAUUUUUCAAUUUCCCGAAUCAGACCCCAUUCUCCAGUCUCCGAUACCAGCCCCAUACUGUAAGAUACGGUCUAUCAAUGUUGAAAAUUUUUACAAGUCCGAAAAUCCGAAUUUUUUGCACAAUCUGGCAACACUGUACGGAAAAAUCAACUAAUUUCUUGCCCCAUCUGGCAACACUGUUAAAAUGCGAUGUUGCAAAAUUUCACCAAUAAAUCAUUUAUUUACUUGCCCCGUUCGGCAACGUUGCUGCGCCAUUUUGAAAUAUACACCGUUGCAUAAACCGUAUAAAAUGAAGUGGGCACUUAAAUAAAUGAUUUAUUUAUUGGUGAAAUUUUGCAAUAUUUUUUUUCCUUUUACAGCGUUGCCAGAUUUAUUGACCCUGUUGCCACAUUGAAUAAUAAUCCCUAUACAACACUGUUAUAAAAUUCAUAUUUUUCUGCACAAUCGUGCAACGCUGUACGAUAAUUUACUGUUGCAAAGUCCCCUUUUUCACCCUACUUUUUUGAACAAACAAAAAUAAUUUUUUGAACAACUUUAAUGUUUCAUAGCUUUUAAAAAAGUUAUUUUUUCUAGUCCUUGCUAAGUUGGAACUGAUUUUGUUUUCUUAUUUCUCUACAGUAUUUACCAAAGCCCGCAGACUCGAACAAUAUUUCAUCUUUAUCAGCAGAAAUGACUCGAUUGAAAGAUGAAUGUGAUCACCGCGAGAAAAAUCUCACAUUAACAAUUUGUGAGCUUCGUGUCGAGGUCAACCUGCUGAAUAAACAGCUGGAAGCUGAACGUAAUAAAAGUGAUACUUGGAGAGAUGCAGUUGCUGUGCUGAGAAAGGAGAAUGUAAGUCGUCUUUUUCAUACAUUUAAACCGUACGGUUUUUGAACCGACCACUUUUUGAAAAGGUGUAUGUAAGGGAGUAAGAGGGUCAUUAGUCUGUUCUCAUAUGUACAAAAAUCCAGUCCCGUGUGCAACAUUUUGAAAAAAGU